GAUGAAGAACGUAGUGAAAUGCGAUAAGUAAUGUGAAUUGCAGAAUUCAGUGAAUCAUCGAAUCUUUGAACGCACAUUGCGCCCCCUGGUAUUCCGGGGGGCAUGCCUGUCCGAGCGUCAUUACAACCCUCAAGCUCAGCUUGGUGUUGGGCCCCGCCGCCCCGGCGGGCCCUAAAGUCAGUGGCGGUGCCGUCCGGCUCCGAGCGUAGUAAUUCUUCUCGCUCUGGAGGUCCGGUCGUGUGCUCGCCAGCAACCCCCAAUUUUUUUCAGGUUGACCUCGGAUCAGGUAGGGAUACCCGCUGAACUUAAGCAUAUUAAUAAGCGGAGGA
RNAcentral lists this unclassified non-coding RNA (329 nucleotides) under soil metagenome. Its description in RNAcentral is "partial contains 5.8S ribosomal RNA, internal transcribed spacer 2, and large subunit ribosomal RNA". The stretch from base 1 to 120 matches the Rfam family "5.8S ribosomal RNA", at positions 35 to 154 of the family's 154-position model. The record is from RNAcentral.